Non-coding RNA from Equus caballus (horse), 643 nucleotides. The record is from the annotation of a RefSeq genome assembly. Lineage: Eukaryota; Metazoa; Chordata; Mammalia; Perissodactyla; Equidae.
CAGCUUUCUCCUAAGAUGAGGCUGAGGUCUCUGGGGAAGGCAGAGUGUAGUCUAGAAGAAGAUGAGGCUGUUGGGUCUUCUCCUUUGCCUGGUGACGGCUCCCCAAGGUGUCCUGUCCCAGGUGCAGCUGAAGAAGUCGGGCCCAGGACAGGUGAAGCCCUCACAGACCCUCUCCCUCACCUGCACUGUCACUGGAGGCUCCAUCACAAGCAGGUAUUAUGGCUGGAGCUGGAUCCGCCAGACCCCAGGGAAGGGGCUGGAGUACAUUGGGAGCAUAGCUUAUAGUGGUAGCACUUACUACAGCCCAUCCUUCAAGAGCCGCGCCUCCAUCUCCAGAGACACGUCCAAGAACCAGUUCUCCCUGCAGCUGAGCUCCGUGACCACCGAGGACACGGCCGUUUAUUACUGUGCAAGUGACACAGUGAGAGGAAGAAGAGAAAGCUCCUGCUUGGAGAUCAUGAAGAGACUGUUUAGCGUGAGGUGGGAAGGCAGCCUGAAGCUGAAGUUGGCAGGAAAGAGUGUACUACAUGGCGUGCAGCUGGAAGAGCUGGGCCCAGGACUGGUGAAGCCCGUGAUGACCAUCGCCCUCACCUGUGCUGUCUCUGGUUUCUGCAUCACAGCCAUCUGUGGCUGGUGCAGCUGA